UGGGAAAGCCCCAUUCAUGUUCGGGAAUCCCGAGUUGACGAAUAUACUUUCAGAAAUAUGGCUACGACACGUUAAUAAGACUCUCUGUUUUCACAUAAUAUGUGAAGGAUUUUGCUGUAGUUUGUGGCCCAUACGAAGUGCUUUUUUGUUGUGCGUGGAAAGAGACAUUGAGAAACAAUUUAGCAACCUCCAAUAGACGCAGGUACG
Molecule: non-coding RNA, 207 nt
Organism: Paramuricea clavata
Lineage: Eukaryota; Metazoa; Cnidaria; Anthozoa; Malacalcyonacea; Plexauridae
Source: the annotation of a GenBank genome assembly